Molecule: ribosomal RNA, 253 nt
Filed under: uncultured bacterium
Lineage: Bacteria
Description: partial 16S ribosomal RNA
Rfam family: Bacterial small subunit ribosomal RNA
Source: RNAcentral
UACGAAGGGGGCUAGCGUUGUUCGGAAUUACUGGGCGUAAAGCGCGUGUAGGCGGGUCUUUAAGUCAGGGGGGAAAUGCCAAGGCUCAACCUUGGAACUGCCUUUGAUACUGGAGAUCUUGAGUCCGGGAGAGGUGAGUGGAAUUGCGAGUGUAGAGGUGAAAUUCGUAGAUAUUCGCAAGAACACCAGUGGCGAAGGCGGCUCACUGGCCCGGAACUGACGCUGAGACACGAAAGCGUGGGUAGCAAACAGG